Molecule: long non-coding RNA, 1037 nt
Filed under: Homo sapiens (human)
Lineage: Eukaryota; Metazoa; Chordata; Mammalia; Primates; Hominidae
Description: HSALNT0362099
Source: RNAcentral
CAGCUGGCACCUUGAUCUUGGACAUCCAGCCUCCAGAACUGUGUUGAAUCUUCUCCAUUUCUCAAGUUCCAUCAGAGUUCCUGAUUGAUUCCUCUGUAGAGCCUUGUCUGCCACCCUAGAAAGCAAAAACAAAAAAGUUACCAUUUGGAGGUAGAAAUGGUUCACCACAAGACACCCAGAUGGCAAUAGGAUUUCUGAGGAUGAGGGAGCUGCAUCUUGCUUUUGUUUCUCAGAGUCUCUCUGGAGAAAGGAUUCAUCUAGAGCCCAUAAAACCAAAUCACGCAAGAUGGAAAAACAGGAUGAAAGAUUAAAAUUUUUGUCCAAGACCAUAAAAGCCAGCUGUGGAUCCCUGGGUGAAUCUUGGAGUUGCUAACUUCUGUAUUUUGCUUAGUUUAUUGAGUAACAAUACCUUAAUUUAAAAAAAAUAUUUUCAGCCAAAGAGGUGAGGGAAUAGAUAUGUGCGCUUGCAAGGAAGUCUGCAGGGUAACUCCAUAUCAUAUCAAAUAUCACUUGUAAAAUACAUUGCUAAAGGCAUUGGCCAGAGUGAAUAGUCAAGAUAAUCACCAAGUAGUGCAAGGACAAAGCUGGGUUUGGGCCUUCUAGCUUCUUCUCUCUUCCUAUGACUGUGAGGAGCAGCCCCCAAGGCAGACCAGGUAGUUCCUCCUAACACAGCCCCUGCUUCCCCAAUUUGAAAAUAAAAUAAAACAUCCUAUCAACACAUAAAUGCCCAGAUACUCCAGAUGGUGAAUGAGGUGGCAUCUCUUGGAUGAUUCAGAUGACAUACAACUUGAAGCUGGCAUGAGAAACAAGGCAGAAAAAGGCAUUCAGUCUAUCACAAGAAGGAAGAAAAUCCAGUAGCUUUGUUUUCCUCUUUCUUAUAGAUCUCUGCUCUAGAGCCAAUCUAAAAACUGAAUUCUGGUUUCUAGUUUUUCUAAGUCUGUAUCCACUGACAUACAAUCAAAUAAAAUGUCUUUAAGUAAACAGAGAUCUUCAUCUCAUCAGCUUUAACUGGUGAAUCUGGCCAGGGACAUUUAUCA